CCUACGGGUGGCAGCAGUGAGGAAUAUUGGUCAAUGGACGAGAGUCUGAACCAGCCAAGUAGCGUGAAGGAUGACUGCCCUAUGGGUUGUAAACUUCUUUUAUAAAGGAAUAAAACGAGGCACGUGUGCCUUUUUGCAUGUACUUUAUGAAUAAGGAUCGGCUAACUCCGUGCCAGCAGCCGCGGUAAUACGGAGGAUCCGAGCGUUAUCCGGAUUUAUUGGGUUUAAAGGGAGCGUAGAUGGGUUGUUAAGUCAGUUGUGAAAGUUUGCGGCUCAACCGUAAAAUUGCAAUUGAUACUGGCAGUCGUGAGUACAGUUGAGGUAGGCGGAAUUCGUGGUGUAGCGGUGAAAUGCUUAGAUAUCACGAAGAACCCCGAUUGCGAAGGCAGCUUACUAAACUGUGACUGACAUUGAUGCUCGAAAGUGUGGGUAUCAAACAGGAUUAGAUACUCUUGUAGUC
RNAcentral lists this ribosomal RNA (460 nucleotides) under uncultured bacterium. RNAcentral describes it as "partial 16S ribosomal RNA". It matches the Rfam family "Bacterial small subunit ribosomal RNA", at positions 338 to 795 of the family's 1533-position model. The record is from RNAcentral.